Coturnix japonica (Japanese quail) is the source of this 10792-nucleotide long non-coding RNA. RefSeq lists it as uncharacterized. NCBI's taxonomy places the organism in Eukaryota, Metazoa, Chordata, Aves, Galliformes, Phasianidae. The record is from RefSeq and is a predicted model, not a curated record.
GGGGGGGGGGGGGGGGGGGGGGGGGGAAGCGAAAAGAUGUAGGAGAUGGGAGAUGGGCUCGGCCGCUGGACUGGAGGAGAGCAAGCUCGGUCCCAGGAGGGCUGCGAGGGAAGGAGGCGGCUCUCGGGCGCUGUGCCGGGGUGAUGCUCGCACGCAGGACUCCUCGGGUGCGGGGGAGCCUUUGGGGGACCCUUCGGGCUGAUCCGGCUGCCAGGCGUGCAAAGUAUGAAGACAAGUGCUGAGGAGCCUUUUCCACAUGGAUCUGAGGCGAAUAGUUAAACACAAACCUCAACUGUGCUGUUGCCAACACUCUCCUUCCAUCUUAUUAGAGUGGGAGAUAGACAGAAAUAUCAAUUGCAAGGCACAUGGGAAAUCCUUUUUCCACCCAUCAUUGAUCAAACCACAGCUGGAGCAUUCUGCCUGGUUUUGGAUAUCAUACUUCAAGAGCAACGUGGCAUGCUUGGAGAGCAUCCAGCGCAGAACGUGUUCUUCCUUGUAAAGAACAUAACCUAUGAAGAAAAAGACCUUUUAUAGAAGACAUUUUGCUUUUUAUGACGUUUGUUUACCAUUUCUUACCAAAAUCAGAUUGUGCUGUGGAUAGCAAAGGGGCAACUCAUUGGUGUGUCAGACAGGGAUUUCCUUUCCUCUGCCUACAGAGCCCACCGCUCUUGAGUCUUGGCACUCUGUGUCCUGAGCACCCUGAAUGGAUCAUUCAUUCACACUCAUUCAGCAGAGUUUUUAUCAGCCUUCUAUUUCUGCAGAGUUACUUCCUUCCAGAUACACCAAGGUAACAGUGCUUAAGAUUAAACACUGUUCUGAUGGUAAUUCAGGAGAGACAAACUUAAAGAUUUCACUAUUUUUCUUGAUAUUACCAUGAGUUUGAAAUAGUGAAUCAUUAGAGGAUCCCUCCUGCUCACUCAGCCAAAUGCUUAUUACUGGCUGCAUGGAGCCUGCUCUGUAGCAAGGAAACCCAAUUGGAUGGGAAGCACUCCACACUGAGGUGCUGCAAAGAGGCAGUGCUGCUUCUUAGCACCUCAAAUUGGUUUUGUCGUGUACAAUCAUAACACAAGCUGGAUAUUGAAAAUCUGUGGUUCAGUAAUUUGAGCACUCCUCGGAAGUGACACAAAUAAUGCAAAACACUUUCCAUGAAGUCUACUUUAAUGAUGAGAAUAUCGCUUAUUUUCAGCACAAAGUUACAUCUGUUUUAUCUGCAGCAAUGAGCAAAGUGAACUUUAAUUAUUCAACUUUGCAACUACUCAGUGACCCUGGCUCAGCAAUGAGGUCUUCCUAUUCGCAUGCAUUUCACAUUUGAAAAAAAGAAAUGCUAUUUGUAAAAGACUAAGACAUGGAGUACAGUAGACGCUACCUUCAUAUGUUAGAAUGCUCUACAGCAUGGAGACUGAGAAUUAAAAAGGAAAGAGUUAUAGUGUAAUGUCACAGCCCCCCACCUCCCAAAGCUGAUAAAAUUCUAGUGUGAGAAAUGACUUGUAUUGUAACAUAUAACCAGCCUCUGUCAUGAUCUGUAUAUUUAUUUCUGCGCUGGCUGUUAAGAGAGCAUGGCACAAAUGAAGUGGUCUUAACUAGAUACACUUAUAAAACUAAAAGCACUCACUGCAUGAGAAAUAGGCAUCACAAAUGCUUUUCAGGAGCUUGUUUCAUAGACUCCUUCCUCCAAGUAUGUCUUUGCAUGUGAAUGGUUGGCAUGUGCAAGCAUAAGAAGUCUGAGUGUGGAUGGUUUUAAUGGUCCUGGUGGCUUUUUGGUGUGUUUUUCUAGCUUUCUCCCUUCCUUUAUGUGUGUGGCUGUUCAUAUGGAGGAGGCAGGGAGAUGGAACACAUAAUGAGCGUCAUGUUUGUUAGGUGCUCACUCCUUUAUGUUUUUUCCAUCUCAGAAGCUCGUAUUUGCUAUUUUAAGUGUCAGGAGCUUGCAAAGGAUGUAGACAUGACAUGUAGAAGAGUUGGUCUGGGCCAUGCCCCACUGGGUUGAGGAGGCAUUGUCCUGUGAGAACCACCACCUAGCCCAACAGUGAUGUGGCCUGAGGGCCUGCUCUGUUUCUCUGCGGGCAUGAUUGGACAGUGGGCUCUGGGCUGCCUGCGCUGCUAAUGUGCAGCAAACUGCAUGCAACAGAAGAAAGCAACCUGCUGAAAAUGACAUCUGGCUGAGCCAAGUUAAAGCAGUAUCACUGGCCAUCAAAGUUCAGCCUCGCAGCUGCUUUCUCUUCUCCUCAUGAAGUGCAGCAAAUGUAACUCAACGUGGCAGCUCUGUAAGGCAGAGAGAGAAGGGGCAGUCAAAGCUGUUUAUGGAUCGGACCUGCUCCAUUCACAGUUUGUCCACGCAGCAAAUGGCACUGAAUUAUUCAAAUCUUUUUGGAGUUAAUUUGUACUGGGUGACUGGUGUAUUGAUGUAACUGAAGUGGUUCUUGUUCUGUGAAAUGGAGAGGAAAAAAAACACAGCAAUGCUAGCAGCAAACUAUAACAUGCUUUGCCAGUGCCUCUGUCAGCUUCUCAAAGGCCUAAACUACUUGAUUUGUUGAGCAGCCCGAGAGGAAGAUAAAUGCUCAUUUUACAGGGGGGGAAGUUAGGGUUGUUGAAGUACUAAAGCAUUGGUUACUAAAGCAACCUUCUCCAAGUCUUUUCUUCUACUAAUCCAUCAGAACUGUGAUGAAAAUCCUGAGCAUUCUGGUCCUCAACUUAUUUUUUAGCCAUAAUUUUCAUACCUGAUUUAGAAGUGCUUACAACUACGCGGUCCACUCUAGAGCCUGGCACCCGAAGUUCCGUGUGAAUAGGAAAGCAAAGAUGAAACAAAGCUCUGAGAAAGAACCCAAGUCUCAGAAGUUCUGAAUGCAAUUCAGGUGAACAUUUUGAAACUGUAAGAGACAGAUACAAACAUGACUGACAGGCUUCCAGUAUUCCUGACCCAUUCAAACAAAAAUAAGGACCUAAUCAUAAAAUCCGCUUUCCCCAUCUAGCUGUGGGUACACAUUCAAGGCAUUCACAGGAACUUUUUCCUUGUUAACCUGGCCUCACCCAGAUGUUUCACACUGGCACUCUCUCUCCGUACUGAGUCCCUGCUUCACGCCAUGCUGAUCAAAGCUGCACAUAGAGCUCUGGAAUAGGUUCCUUAGGGAGGUGGUAGAGUCACCAUCCCUGGAUGUGUUUAAAAACUGUUUGGAUGUGGUGCUCAGGGACAUGAUUUAGUGGCGAGUUGUUAGUUAGGGUAGUAUGGUUUGGUCAUGGUUGGACAUGAUCUUAAGUUCUUUUCCAACCUGAGUGAUUCUGUAAUUCUAUGAUUAAGAGGGGCCUGACCUGACUUCUGUGCUGUAGGAUUGUCAGACUACUUUGAUGCACAGUGCAAUGCAUAAGUAUGAGCCCUACUUUUUUUCUGGUAUUUGUACAUUGAUAGUUCAGAGAAAAUCUCCCUUCAUAAUGCCUGUCCCAGCCCAAUUGCCAACUGACGUGUACCCCAAGCCCCAAGAUUCAAGGGGAUCAUUAAAUGAAUUUUUCAACAGGAUCCAUUACUGACAUAUCUGCAAAGUUUUAAACUACAAGUGUAAGGGCAGUGAGAAUUUUUAUGCUGCUUUUGAAUUUCCAGUAUUGGCUUAAACUCUGAGAAAAGGAUAGGUAGUAAUUAUUUUGCAGUGCAUCUGACCCACUUGUGCUUGUGAAGCCUAGGAAAAUCACUUGGCUCAAUAGCAAAGUCACUGACUGUGCAUUGCACAUAAUUCUUAUUAAGAAAAAAGAAAAUAUCACAAGUGGCAGCCCAUUAAGUAUGGCUCCACAACAAGCUUGUUUUCCUUAUAAUUAGAAAAUAAGCACAGAAAUACUCUUCUGUAGGUCUUCUCUUAGCAGAGUAGACUUUUUUUGCAGGAACCUGAAAGCAACAGUGUUUUCUGCAAGCGGUAUCUUACUAUGCUGUAGCUUCUGUGUGCUUGAUUGUAGUGUAGGUGGGAACUCCUACCAGCAAUAAACCAAAAGCAAUAAAUGUCCACCCAUAAACUGUUGCCAUGAUUUCAUCUCCACCUGGGGAAUAUUAACUCUCAAUACAAAAUCAUCAAAGUGAAGAUAACUUCAUAGUUCUUGGCUCUUCCGUUAGCUGGGGCUCAAAUGAAACUAGAGUUUGAGACCAGAGUACACAGCCAAGAACAGUCAGCCUCACUCCUAAUUCUACUUUCUUGUCUUAAGUUCAGGUCUAUUAAAAAGAUUUUGGAUUUCUUUUCCUUUUUGUGAGGGCACACCUCAGUGUGAUCAGGUUACUUCUCAAUUUUCUCUUUGAUAAAGCUAUAGACACUCAGGCUUUGAAAGGUUUGUCAAGGCCCCAUAUUUGCUCUUUUCAGUUCUGGACUUUUUCUGUUUGUUUCCCAUGUUAUCUGAUUUACAGCAGCAGCAGCAGCAAUGGCGCGCAAUAUUCCAGUGCCCCAUUUAGCAGAAAAAUCCUUUCUCCUCGCAAGCUGCCAGUUCACGCACCAUGUGCUUCGACAGGGCACCAGGAUUUCCUGCUGAGUUGCUUAUUUCCUGGGAUCCUCACAUCUUCUUCCAUUCUGCUAUUUUCCAGGAUGUGACUGCCCAUUCUGUAGCUCUGAACCCUUUCUUUUGCCUUGGGUAUGUAUUCAGCAAAUCAAGUAAAACUCUAUAAUACAAUGAGCAUUUACAGUCUAGUUAACAAAUAAGCAUUCUCCAGUCUCUUGAGUUUAGUAGCUCUAAAUAUCAAAGAGCUACAAAAUCUCUUCCUUUACUUUCAAAAAAAUUGGAUUUAUAUUCAUCAGCACUGAGAUUAAAAAUUUAGUCUGCAAAAAAAAGGCUGGAAAAAAAGAACAAACAAAUUACUGAAUGAACUGCAAGGCAUCAACCAGAAAGACAAAAAUAUGCCUGAAGAGAUCUAGCUUCAUUAAUAAGUGAACAACAGAUGAUGGAGUAAUUACUAUUUCAGUAUCAAAGGGUCUCAGUCACUUUGAGGAGAGAAGUGAAACAAGGCUACAUGCUGUAAGUAGGAAAGUAACCAGCAGCACAAUCACCGCCAGAAUCUGAUCUUGAUAAGUUAGCUUUACUUAGAAAUCCUGUCUACACACAGAAAAUACAAGGCUACAAAUUAAUAAAACAAGUACAAUCAAAGCCUAUUUAUACUUUAGAAUAAAACUCAAUGAAAAUAUUUGCCUUCAGAGACCACAGACAUAUUGAAUUCGAUGUAAAAUUCCCAAUUUAAAUGAUAUGAAAGACCUUUGUCUCCAGUCACAGUGGAUCCAACCAGUACUUGAUAAAUUUGAGCUGCCCGUUUGAUCAAUGGUUUCCUUGGUAGAAAACACUUCCAGAAAUCCAGGGAGGUGGGAGAAAGGUCGGGGGGAGAAGACCGUGAUUCUGCAAAUGCAUUUGUGUGUCCACAGUUGUGAAAUCAUAAGUUGUCCCAUUGACUUUAAAGGGCGGGCUGUAGGUUCACUGGCAAGGCAGGAGCCUGAUGUCAUAAAUCCCAUGGGGCUAGAGGGAUCCAUCUGGGCUCUGCUCACAGAAAGUCUUAGAGUCCUAGGGCACUAAAAUAAAUGGACCGAUCGUUGUUCUUCUCUGUACAAUAGGACUACGGAGGAACAUCCACUGGAGACGGUAAAAAAAAGGUGGAAGCAAGAGAAAUCAGUGGAAGCUUUUCAACUGGAACAGAAAUCAGAGGUCUCAUUUGCUCGAAGAUGUUCAAAAGGAACAGAGCUGCUGGCGUGCUGACAGCUCCCACAUCACACAGACAGGAACAGCACUAUCAAUGCAGGCCUUCUUCUGGAUCAGCUUCAGGCUCUUUCCCACCCUUCCACCUGCACUGCUGACAGAAACAGCGGCUGAUGCCUCUAUACGGCUGCUGAUGCUUCAGACACUCUGGUCUGAAGCCCAGCACAGUUUCUCUUCGCCAGGGAAAGCCCCAUCAGCGGCACACGUUUAAUAGAGGUGCUGCCGGCAGCCCACCCGCCGCGCUGUGACUGCAGGCAGGAGCAGGGUUGGCAGCUCUGCCAGGACACAGACAGGGCUGUGGGCAGCUCACCAGCAGCUUACACAGCUCUUGCCCAGCCUGCGCUGGUGCAGGCAAGCUCCCUGCACAAUGAGAGAGCCCGGGGCAAUAGGCAAACACAUUUCUCUUCUCUUUGGGAGAAAACAGAAUACUGUGAUGUAAUUAAAUUUGCCAGGCUCUACUGCAGCAUGGUGGUGCAGAUGACAGGAUACAGAUAUAUAUUUCUGGGCAGCCUACUCUUACGUUAAAGCACUGAAAGGUUGAUUUUCUUUGUUUGCUUUACAAAUAGCCUCGGUCCUGCCUAGUCCAAAAGGGAGCGUUACUGAAGGACAGCUUACAAACAUUUUUUUCUGCACUAAAAGGAGGAUGCAGUUUUUAACACUAAUAAAUAUAGAAAUGUAACUUCUCUCCAGACCUGAGCUAACAGAGGUCUUGCUUUCCUGACUUGGAAAACCAACCAAUCAAACAACAACACACAAAACAAACAACAGCUACCACAGCAGCUGAAGCAAAUAGAAGGUCUAUGAAAGUGGAGUUAUUACUUAUUGCAAAGGAUUUUUAUUCAGACUAUCAUGACUUGCUCCCACUGAUCCCAAUAGAAGUUGUUUGUCUGUAAGGAGAGCUGUACCAACUGAUUUUCAUAGAACACAGAAUCACAGCAUCACCAAGGUUAGAAAAGACCUCCAAGAUCAUCCAACCCAACCAUCCACCUACCGCCAAUACUUCCCCACUAAACCAUAGAAUCAUAGAAUCAUUUUCACAUGGUUGUUCUAUUUAAAUAUGCUUCCUCAGUUUCCCAAGGCACAGAGGAGGACAAGGUGCAACAUUUGCCUUUGAGCUACCAGACACACUGUUUGGAGUACUGUGGCUAUGCAUUACAAAGUGGCCACAAAGCUGCAAGUAGCUCAUUUCAGAUCGUGCCUCUGAUCACCUGGGAAAUCGGCUUUUAUUGUUGUAUGCUCAGAUUCCAUCAUGAUCCAAGUCCCUGGGCUGAUCAGUGCAAAUAGCUGCUGAAUACAUGUAUAACCUCUUCUGAUUAUUAUGCAGCUGUACUUGUGCAGUAGCUUUCCUCCAUUUACGUUGUCAUUACCUGUUUAAUGUUCCUCUGUCUCUCUCUUUUAAAAAGGAAAUCUUUUUUACCUCAAUCAGUUUUUCUUCAAACUCCUUCCUCCCCCACCCCUAUCAGGCUCAUGCUUCUCCAUCAGCCCAUAAUGCUCCUUUGCUAGGGUGGCUUAUCCUUCAUCACCUGCUGUCCCUCUCCCACUUGUGCUCGGACAUCUCUGUGGCAGGACAUGAGAGCUUCUGCCACCCUCACUGGCCUGUAGUUACUGGCAGGAGGAUGAGAGGAGCUGUGAUGGUGACACAAAGGCAGAACGAGCCCCAGCUGGGUGAAUGGGGAGAGACUGGGAAACACACUCCUGUUUGCACCACACCAUGGAGGUUGUGCUGCCGUGGGAUUCUCUAGGCUUUUAGCCUGAGAACUUUUAGCAGAUAAGAGUGCACUGCAUGUGAUUUUGGAUAACCCUGAAAGGUAUUGUUUGUGUAAUGGUGGAGAGAUUGGAAAACAUGAUAUAUUUGUUGGCAUGUUCACACAUAUUCACUCAGGAGGGUGGUGACGCACUGGAACAGGUUGCCCAAGGAGGCUGUGGAUGCCCCAUCCCUGGAGGCAUUCAAGGCCAGGCUGGAUGUGGCUCUGGGCAACCUGGUCUGCUAGUUGGUGACCCUGCACAUAGCAGGGGUGGAAGCUAGAUAGAUGAUCAUUGUGGUCUCUUUAAACCUAGGCUAUCCAAUGAUUCCGUGAUAUGGCUAGGAGGCACUUCAGUAAUUACAGAUAUCAUCCAGGACACUUCUGAGAGCAGUGACAAUGAGACUGGAGGAGAAUAACUCAAAAGGAGCAUAGGCUGGACUGCCUGAGCUCACCUUGUAGCAUUUUCACUGUUUCAGACCAUCACAUCUUGGACAGGGGCAGGGCUCCACACCACAAACAUGCUUCAGCUUGAUGGUCAAAGAAGAUUUCUUGGUAGUUGAUGAAGUGUUCUCCAGUUCAGACUCAGAGAAGCAGGUUCUGUGCUGACUUCCACCUCCUUUCAGCUUUAUAACCUUGUUCUUCAGCACCAGACCAGCUGAGUUUCACCCUUUUCAAUAUCCCAAACUUUUCACUCUCCCAAACAUCUCAAAGUAGUUACACCCUAUUGGAAAAACAAACAUUAGCUUUUCUUGUCUGCUAAUUACCGCAGUCUAAAGAUGCUGGCUACCCAGAAUUUAGCUCCUGCUUCCAAUGAUCUGUCAUUAAAUUCCUGUUCUCCUUGCAGAGCCCAGCAAGCCCUCUGCAGCAGCACCGGUUCACUCAGCACACAGCCAAGGACAGCCAGGAAGGUUAAUGGCGUUUCACACUUCCUCCGGUUCUGUCUCUGGCACUGUGGGAUUCCUGCAGCCGCUCACACCAUUCGUUCUUGUGCCAAAAGCGCUCUUUAGCUUAGCUUAAAUAGCCCUUUCCCCCUUCCUGCUACUAACUCUUCUGAAUUACUUAUGAAGGGAGAUCAUACAAGCUCCCAGUCUUUUGCUGAGCUAAUUACUCUUCUAUGUAUUCCCCCAAAAGAGAGUGGCUGCCCUGGCCGUCACCUUUAUAUCUGUUCCAAGCUAAUCAAGUCCUUCCAGACUCAUAGCCACUUCUGUAACAUGGAGAUGAGAUCCCUCCAGAGAUCUCUGUGACAGCAGUAAUAAUAAUCUUUGAUCUCUGUAGGAAGUACUUUGCCUAACAGAUUUUUAGUCACUUGUUUUUAUUUCUCAGGUAACACUUCUCAGUGGUCAUUGUCAUCUUGUGAAUAAUAAAGCCAAGACACUCCUCUCAGUUAUUCACAGCUGAUGAACAUAAAGAAAUUUCCAUGAUUAAUCCCAAAGUAAGGAGACUAUUACUUUACUAUUAAAUACAUUUUCAUUUCAACCUAGAACUUGGCUGAGAGCUGAGUCUGCCUCUCCUCAGCUCAAAAUACAUGUGGCGAAAUGAGCUUGCUGCCUGUCUGUGCUACAACUGCCUUCCUUUCUAUGGACAGAAGAGAAGGGUCAGUGGUUUUACCUGGGUACCAGAAAAUUAAUUCCAUAUUCUAUGAAGAAUCUUCCUUUCAGAUGCCAACUGAGAGGUCAGUGUAAGCACCCACAUUUCUAAAGCACCAGAUUAGGUGAUGGGAGGGUAGGCUACCUGCUGGAUAGGCUUUUACACUAACUAUACAUUUUGUAAAUGGAAAAGAGAGGUGGGUGCCAAGCGCUGCCAUAAAUUUUUCUGCUGCUGGCUUUCUUUACUCUGUCUUUACUAUAAUUAAAUCCUAGCUAUCAUUAAUAUUUUGCAAUAACUGGGUGCAAGAUUUGUUCCUUUAUUGUCUGCAACCUACAAAAACAUUUUGUGCAUUUUUGUGUUUUGUUCUCUCUAAAAACUGAUGCCUUUCCCCACUCCAUUUCAAGUGCCUAGCAGCUCAUUUUGGGUUAUUGUCUCCUUAGUCUCCCCCAUGUUAUUCCAAAGUUGACAUGAUGACAAAAGCCACUCAAGGAUGGCAGCUAAUAAGGCAUCUGCUUUCCUCUAGUGAGGGUGUAGGGAGGUCUGUAAGGCAGCAGUCAGAUGCGUACUGGUAAUAGGAUGCGCUACCUUUCAACUCUGGGUCACUGCUUCACCUCUGAUCCUGUCAAAAGUGGCCAGAAGUUGUUAUCUGGAUGUAAAUCAUGAAUCUAGGAAAAGGAGUUGAUGCUCUUUCUUGAAACCCUGCUGACAAGCAUUCACACUGCAAUUAGCCAAAGUAGGCAGGAUAGACUGCAACAAGGUCCAGCAGGUCAGGGGCAAGGAUGCUUACAAGGCCAAGGGCUGUGUAGGACCACCAGUGGCUGAAUUCACAUGGGUCUGGGGAACCACCAUUCUACAGGCACAAGAUGCAUUUUGAUAUAAAUAGAAAUAGGGGUAAAGUGCAGUGAAUCUAUACAAGAUUUGGAUUCCCUGUUGUUUCUAGAGUACCAUAAAUAAGAGAAAAAGAUGCCCAUUUGGUAGAGUAUACUUCAAGUAAGACUGGACUAAAGAAACACUAAGAUUAAAAAAACAUAAUUUUCAGUUGUUACGGAGUCAGAACAUUUAAAGAGUUUCAUGGUUCUUUUAGUGUGCAAUGUGGACAGCUCUGGGCUUUGUACUGAUUUUGGCUGCUUUGUGUUUUGGCCAUACAUAAAUCACACCAGAACUGCCAGCCAGCUGUGCCACACUUGCAAUAUAAACAUUACAAAUUUCCUUUGUAGUUUCUCUCCGUAUCUUAAGGACUAUGUAAGAUUUAAGUCUGCAGUUUUUUUUAACUAGAGCCAUUAAUCAGUGAAAUGUGCAAUGCUAUCAGGUGGUUUGUGUUAGCCAGUUUCACUACAUGUAAUUACCAGUGUUCUUCUUAAUUUCAAGUUGUCACUGUCGCCAUAUUAUGCAUAUAGAUCACUGUAUUUGUUUGUAGUCUUUAUGGAUGUCAAAACGUAACAAAAACUUAAUCCCAAUGAAAGAUACAUUGAGGAGCUCCAUUUGUGCUGAUUAAAUCAUACAUUAACCCGAAAGAACAGGUCUGACAUCACUCUCAGGUAGUUAAGGAUUAUGCUUCAUAAUGUCUCUAAAUAUUAUCUUGGAAAUGGCCAUGUCGGAAGGCCUAGAAACUCCUCAGAGCUUACGCUUUUUUAUUUUCAAGCAUCCAAUGUCAGUACAUGAUCAGAGAGAGACACAGAAAUAUGAAUUAGUUAAAUGACCCACUAGAGGUUGAAAAAAAAAAAGAGAGAGGGCUAAAAUCUGCAUUUCUUUAGUCA